RNAcentral lists this ribosomal RNA (253 nucleotides) under uncultured bacterium. RNAcentral's name for it is "partial 16S ribosomal RNA". It matches the Rfam family "Bacterial small subunit ribosomal RNA", at positions 524 to 776 of the family's 1533-position model. The record is from RNAcentral.
UACGAAGGGGGCUAGCGUUGUUCGGAUUUACUGGGCGUAAAGCGCACGUAGGCGGACUAUUAAGUCAGGGGUGAAAUCCCUCGGCUUAACCCGGGAACUGCGUCCGAUACUGGUGGGCUCGAAUCCGGGAGAGGGAUGCGGAAUUCCAGGUGUAGCGGUGAAAUGCGUAGAUAUCUGGAGGAACACCGGUGGCGAAGGCGGCAUCCUGGACCGGUAUUGACGCUGAGGCGCGAAAGCGUGGGGAGCAAACAGG